This 1343-nucleotide ribosomal RNA is filed under the name uncultured bacterium. RNAcentral describes it as "16S ribosomal RNA". It matches the Rfam family "Bacterial small subunit ribosomal RNA", at positions 28 to 1378 of the family's 1533-position model. The record is from RNAcentral.
GACGAACGCUGGCGGCGUGCUUAACACAUGCAAGUCGAACGGAAAGGCCCUGCUUUUGUGGGGUGCUCGAGUGGCGAACGGGUGAGUAACACGUGAGUAACCUGCCCUUGACUUUGGGAUAACUUCAGGAAACUGGGGCUAAUACCGGAUAGGAGCUCCUGCUGCAUGGUGGGGGUUGGAAAGUUUCGGCGGUUGGGGAUGGACUCGCGGCUUAUCAGCUUGUUGGUGGGGUAGUGGCUUACCAAGGCUUUGACGGGUAGCCGGCCUGAGAGGGUGACCGGCCACAUUGGGACUGAGAUACGGCCCAGACUCCUACGGGCGGCAGCAGUGGGGAAUAUUGCACAAUGGGCGGAAGCCUGAUGCAGCAACGCCGCGUGCGGGAUGACGGCCUUCGGGAUGUAAACCGCUUUCGCCUGUGACGAAGCGUGAGUGACGGUAAUGGGUAAAGAAGCACCGGCUAACUACGUGCCAGCAGCCGCGGUGAUACGUAGGGUGCGAGCGUUGUCCGGAUUUAUUGGGCGUAAAGGGCUCGUAGGUGGUUGAUCGCGUCGGAAGUGUAAUCUUGGGGCUUAACCCUGAGCGUGCUUUCGAUACGGGUUGACUUGAGGAAGGUAGGGGAGAAUGGAAUUCCUGGUGGAGCGGUGGAAUGCGCAGAUAUCAGGAGGAACACCAGUGGCGAAGGCGGUUCUCUGGGCCUUUCCUGACGCUGAGGAGCGAAAGCGUGGGGAGCGAACAGGCUUAGAUACCCUGGUAGUCCACGCUGUAAACGGUGGGUACUAGGUGUGGGGUCCAUUCCACGGGUUCCGUGCCGUAGCUAACGCUUUAAGUACCCCGCCUGGGGAGUACGGCCGCAAGGCUAAAACUCAAAGGAAUUGACGGGGCCCCGCACAAGCGGCGGAGCAUGCGGAUUAAUUCGAUGCAACGCGUAGAACCUUACCUGGGUUUGACAUGGAUCGGGAGUGCUCAGAGAUGGGUGUGCCUCUUUUGGGGUCGGUUCACAGGUGGUGCAUGGCUGUCGUCAGCUCGUGUCGUGAGAUGUUGGGUUAAGUCCCGCAACGAGCGCAACCCUUGUUCACUGUUGCCAGCACGUUAUGGUGGGGACUCAGUGGAGACCGCCGGGGUCAACUCGGAGGAAGGUGGGGAUGACGUCAAGUCAUCAUGCCCCUUAUGUCCAGGGCUUCACGCAUGCUACAAUGGCUGGUACAGAGAGUGGCGAGCCUGUGAGGGUGAGCGAAUCUCGGAAAGCCGGUCUCAGUUCGGAUUGGGGUCUGCAACUCGACCUCAUGAAGUCGGAGUCGCUAGUAAUCGCAGAUCAGCAACGCUGCGGUGAAUACGUUCCCGGG